Hemibagrus wyckioides is the source of this 2761-nucleotide RNA transcript. It is a transcript of the gene named metaxin 3, with no coding region annotated. The transcript has 9 exons. The record is from RefSeq and is a predicted model, not a curated record. Lineage: Eukaryota; Metazoa; Chordata; Actinopteri; Siluriformes; Bagridae.
AUAACUCUCCUCUGCAGGGAAAGAGGGGGCGGGGCUUCGAGUGUUGUCAUUGGUGUUCCAGCCAAACAAACAUGGCGGCACCCAUGGAGCUGCUGUGCUGGGGAGGCGAUUGGGACUUGCCGUCUGUACAUACUGAAUCUUUAAUCGUGCUGGCGUACGCUAAAUUCGCCGGAGCCAAACUUACAGUCAAGCUAGUGGACUGGACAUGGAGGACUAUCACAGCCACUGUUCCACAACUGCACCAUGAGGGAACAUCAGUAACAGAACCUACACAGAUUCUUAACUUUCUAAGGCAGAAUAGAUUCAAUGCAGAUUAUGAGCUGUCCGCCAAGCAGGGAGCUGACACCAUGGCUUACAUUGCUCUCCUGGAGGAGAAACUGCGGCCGGCUUUGCUCCAUACAUUCUGGGUGGAUGCUGAGAACUAUGCCAACCUGACAAGGCCUUGGUUUGCUUCUCACUCUCCAUUCCCUCUCAACUUCUUUGUACCAAGCCGCCAGGCCAGUGUGGCUCUGUCCAGGAUCCUCCUGACCAAGGCAGAAGCUCCACUGCAUUCAGUCGCGGAGGUGGAAGGAAAGAUCUACAGUGAAGCCAAAGAGUGUCUGAAUUUGCUCUCUCACAGACUGGGAUCCUCACACUUCUUCUUCGGAAACACGCCUACAAGUCUGGAUGCCUUUGUUUUUGGCUACCUUGCACCGCUCCAUAAAGCCACUCUACCCAGUGCUCAGCUCCAGCAGCACCUAAAACAGCUUCACAAUCUCUGCCAGUUCUGCACUAACAUCCUCAAAAGCUACUUUUCCGAAGCUGCCUCUGAAUGAAAGCCUUGUAUGUUGGGGAAAAAAGUGUCUUCAAACAGAAAUGCACACUCAUUUCAAACGGCACAGAAGACAGAAAUAAUAUCUAUGGAUGAUAAUCUGCGCAGUAGCCCUCAACACAGACCCAGCCGACCCCAUAAACCUGAAGCCAAACCUUCAUCUCUGGCCACUGCCAGGAACUUGACCCCUGCCUGAUAACCUCACCCACACCACACAGUGGUAUCUUUCCUUACCUAUUUAUUUAAGCUUAUAUUAAAAUGGGCAUGACUGCUAGAGGAGUCUCAAGUUUGCUCAGUGAUCAGCCAUAACAUUAAAACCACCUGCCUAAUAGCGCCACCAAAAGAGCUCUGAGUUGUCGAGGCAUGGACUACACAAGACCUCUGAAGGUGUGUUGUGGUAUCUAGCUCCAAGACGUUGUACCUGUAACGUGUCUAUUGGGGCCUCUGUGGAUUAGACCAGUUUGUCCAGCACAUUCCACAGAUGCUGAUCCUGGGAAAUUUGGAUCACAUUAACACAUUGAAUUCUUUGUCAUGUUCCUCAAACCAUUAGCCUUCUCUCCCUAUGAGUAUUCAUGAACCUGUCGCUGGUUACUGGACCACUUUUGGUAGCUAUUGACCACUGCAUAUCAGGAACACCUCACACGACCUGCUAUAUUGGAGAUGCACUGACCCAGUCGUCUAACCGUUAUAAUUUUCACCUAAAACGUCACUCGGAUUUCUUACAUUCACUCCUUUUUUCCACAUCAACAUUGAGAACUGACUCUUCACUUGCUGACUAAAUAUAUCCCACCUCUCGACAGAUGCCACUGUAAUGAGAUAAACCUCUUAGUGGUUUUUAAUGUUAUGGCUGAUCAGAGUUUGUUGAACAAACGUUAUUGUGGUUGAACAAAUGUGGCUUCGGUCAUUACUGAGAGCUCAGUUUUUCCAUUAGUCUCAUACUGAUUUAUAUUAUUUUCUUAAUCUAUAAGAUUGUAUUUACAUAUCAAACAAUAUUUAAAAAAAAAUGAUGGUUAUCCAAAUACAACUAAUGACAGUAAUUAAAUAUUCAUAGACUGUUGCCAUUCUGAACAACCUUCGCCAUAGUGAAAUUAUAUUUUGUAAAAUUCACUGUGUACACACACACACACACACACACACACACACGUACAGUGUAUCUGACAAUAUCUUUCCAUUAGCAGUGUGUAAAAAUAGAGAUUCUUUUAGAGCUGUUAGUCCAUGCUGAACCUGAAUCCUUCAUUUUGCUGAACAUCUCCAAUAGUUUUUCACUUUUUCAUUAUGGCUGUUGUUAUAUAUUAAGGUUGGGCCUCGACAGUUUGCACAGCAUCAUAGCGGUUAAUCAACGUGUCGGUGUGUGACAGUCGGAAAUCAUCAGCCACCACCAGGCUAAAUAUUGUAACUCAUCAUAGCGUCUUCAUUCAGGUUAAUGUAUCAUUCCGCUUGCUCUCCUGAACACACCUACGUAAACAGUGAAAAUAUAGCGAUUUAUUUUUACUCAUAACAGUUUCUGUAUUUUAUUUAUUUUUUUGCUCUUUAAAGCAAAUGGAUCUGUUGAUUUUUCCGCAUGCGUGCCUUUCCCUCUGUAUCCAAGAGUAAUUUCCUGCCUUUGAACAUGCUUAAGCUUAAAUGAAAAUAAUUUCACAUUGUAAGCGUGCCAGAAGCGCUCAGGAGAUGCAUUUACACACUUUAUUGCAUCGUAAUCAUGAUUAGCUGCAUUCACCACAUCACGUACAGGCCAGUGGGUCCAGUUUUUCUUUCUUUUUUUUCCAUGUUAUUACUUUGUAUGCCCAUGUCUGUUACAUGUAUACAUGUCUGUUCAUGCAGGGCUGAUUUAUGGAAACAGUAUCUCCUGAAUUCCUUUAGUUCUGAUGCAUUUUAAAGCAUCUCGACUUCAGCUAAGAAAGGACGUGUCAAGUGUUCAAACACAAAUAUAAUAAAAUAGAGUUUAUAAUA